AUGACAAAGGGAAUGUCAUAGUUUGGAAAGCCCCACAAUAAGAUGCACAUACUGUGUCCCUGCUGUGGGUCUAAGGCCUACCACCUUCAGAAGUGACCUGUGGCAAAUGUGGCUACUCUGCCAAGUGCAAGAGGAAGUAUAACUCGAGUGUCAAGUCUAAAAGACAAAAUACCACUGGGACUGGUGAAGUGAGGCACCUAAAAAUUGGGUACUGCAGAUUCAGCCAUAGAUUCCGUGAAGGAACAACAGCUAAAUCCAGAAAGACAACUGUUGCAGCAUCCAGUUCAUCUUAA
RNAcentral lists this long non-coding RNA (293 nucleotides) under Homo sapiens (human). RNAcentral's name for it is "non-protein coding lnc-C21orf91-5:1". The record is from RNAcentral. Lineage: Eukaryota; Metazoa; Chordata; Mammalia; Primates; Hominidae.